GAUCAAGCUACAAAGAGCACAUGAUGGAUGCCUUGGUGCCAAAAGGCGAUGAAGGACGUGAUAAGCUGCGAUAAGGCACGGAUAGCGGCAAAUACGCUUUGACCCGUGCAUCUCCGAAUGGGGUAACCCAGUGGAAUUAACCUUCCAUUACCGCUGAGUGAAUCAAUAGCUCAGCGUGAGCAAUACCUGGUGAAGUGAAACAUCUCAGUAACCAGAGGAAAAGAAAGCGAAGCGAUUCCGUAAGUAGUGGCGAGCGAAAGCGGAACAGCCCAAACCACGGGUUUACUCGUGGUGUUGUAGGGCCCCGAUGUGGCAGUGCAACGAUUAGAUGAAGCGACUGGAAAAUCGCUCCAUAGAGGGUGAGAGGCCCGUAAUCGAAAAUCCGAGCACGCCUAGGGAGUCCCUGAGUAACGCGAUGCAAGUGAAGCUUCGCGUGAAUCCACGCCGACCACGGCGUAAGGCUAAAUACUAAUUGGCGACCGAUAGUGAACAAGUACCGCGAGGGAAAGGUGAAAAGAACCGCUGUGAGCGGAGUGAAAUAGUCCCUGAAAUCAUGUGCUUACAAGGUGUCAAAGCCCGCAAGGGUGAUGGCGUGCCUUUUGCUUAAUGAGUCUGCGAGUUAUUGUCAGUGGCGAGCCUAAGCCCUUCUGGGGUGGAGGCGAAGCGAAAGCGAGUCCGAAAUGGGCGCCCAUAGUCGCUGGCAGUAGACCCGAAGCCGAGGUGAUCUACCCAUGGCCAGGUUGAAGCGCUGGUAAUACAGCGUGAAGGACCGAACCCGUGAACAUUGAAAAGUUCUGGGAUGAGCUGUGGGUAGGAGCGAAAGACUAAUCAAACCCGGUGAUAGCUGGUUCUCCCCGAAAUAGCUUGAGGGCUAGCCUAGGAUGCUGACUUGUGGAGGUAGAGCACUGGAUGAACUAGAGCCCAUACCAGGGUAUCGAAUUCAAUCAAACUCCGAAUGCCACAGGGAGAAGUCCUGGAGUCAGUGCGCGAGGGAUAAGCUUCGUGCGCGAGAGGCAAACAUGCCAGACCAGCAGCUAAGGUGCCCAAAUACCGUUCAGUGGAAAGGAUGUGAAGAUACUUAGACAAUGAGGAUGUUGGCUUAGAGGCAGCCAUCAUUUAAACAGUGCGUAAUAGCUGACUCAUCGAGUGUUUUCGCGCCGAAAAUGAUUGGCGAUAAGCGGUAUACCGAAGCUCUGGAAUUGAGGAGAAUUCGUUUUCCUUGAUUGGUAGGGGAGCGUUGUAGCGACGCAGAAGCGGGAGCGGAAGCAACCGUGGAGUUUCUACAAGUGAGAAUGCAGACAUGAGUAGCGAUAAGCCAGGUUAGAUUCCUGGCCGCCGUAAACCCAAGGUUUCCUGUGCAAGGUUCGUCCUCACAGGGUUAGUCGGGACCUAAGUCGAGGCCGGUAGGCGUAGACGAUGGACAGCUGGUUUAAUAUUCCAGCACCGGCUUUGGUUAAAGCGAAGGUGACGUGGGUGCGGAGAAGGGCAGUCGAUUGAAAGUGACUGUCGCGCAAGCGGACGUUGAGGCUACGGCCAAGACGGAUCCUUUAAAGCAAACACCGAG
Molecule: ribosomal RNA, 1564 nt
Filed under: Chthoniobacter flavus Ellin428
Lineage: Bacteria; Pseudomonadati; Verrucomicrobiota; Spartobacteria; Chthoniobacterales; Chthoniobacteraceae
Description: bacterial LSU rRNA
Rfam family: Bacterial large subunit ribosomal RNA
Source: RNAcentral